Non-coding RNA from Paramisgurnus dabryanus, 2310 nucleotides. Lineage: Eukaryota; Metazoa; Chordata; Actinopteri; Cypriniformes; Cobitidae. The record is from RefSeq and is a predicted model, not a curated record.
GACACCACUGAAAAUGACCGUUUCCUUAAACAGUGCGCUGUGUAAUAGAGUUGAUUUAGAACACUGUGAACAGUCUGAAGGGGAACGAGGAAAUAAUAGAAAGAAUCAAACUAGUUUAGCAAGUGACCUGCACACAGUCACAUUACUGUGGCAACCUAUACAAUGACAUGUUCAUUCCAGGAAGAUUUUGUGGGUGGGUCACGUAACAAGGAAAAAAAUCUUGAGAUGCUAGUUAGCAUACUUAUGGUUUCAUUUAGUGGUUGCUGCAGUUGCGAGGAAACAGGAUGUCUGUACUGUACUGUACAGUGCCCUCCAUAAGUAUUGAAACAAAUAGACAUUUCUUUCUUUUGGACAAACCCGCCCAUGGGACACCUAAUCAACAGCCCACUGGUUAUUUUUAAACAACUCCCCUUUUGGGCUCUCUGCAAGGGUGUAGCAUCAGCAAAAACAUGCAUCUGACAAAAUAAAAAAUACUUAUAAUGUUAGUUAGCUCAUGCUUUGCAAACUAAAGCAAUAGCAUUACUGUAAAAUGCCGUGUUUAUGAAUUCAGAUGACACCACAGUGAUUGGCCAGAUCAGGAACAAUGAUGAAUCGGCCUACAGGGAGGAGAUCCAAAACCUGUCCGCUUUGUGCUCUUCCAACAACCUCACCCUCAAGUCUUAAAAACCAAAGAGUUUAUUGUGGACUUUAGAAAGUCUAAAAGCAGCAGUCACAUCCCUAUCUUUAUCAAUAGGACUAAAGUAAAAUGUGUCAGUUGUCCACAUAUUUGAGGAUCUGUCCUGGCCAGGGGCGGCAUUUGUUUAGCAUACCCUAGCAUUCAUACAAAACACCAGAAAUCAACAGGCUAUAAUGAUGCUCAUUAAAGAUCCUUUUAAAUAUUAUUAGUAGAACAUAUCUGAACAUUGGUACAUCACUAAUAGAGAAAAUUUACAUGUGUGUUCGACUUCAUGCUGUAACACAGGAACCGACAGGCAGAUGACAUCAAAGUGCCGCGAGAGUGGUUCGAAGGCAAACUCUUUCGAUGAUUUCUCUACUCACCCUCGCUGUACUUUGAUGUCAUCCGCCUGUCGUUCUUGCAGCGCAGCUUGAAGUUGAACACAAUCUAUAAUAGUGGGUUUCCCCUGCAGGAGGUCUCAUGAUGACGGCUGCUGUUAUAAUACACUGUCAGAAAUAAAGGUACAAAACUGUACCUUUUCUGUCACUGGGGCUGUACCCUUUCAAAAAGUACAGCUUUGCACCUAAGGAUUUCAUUUUAGUACCUGAGAGGUACAUACUGGGACCAAACAGAGCUUAUCAGUACCUUAAAAAUACAGAUUAGUAUCUCAAAGGUACAUAUUGGUACUAAAUGUUAUCUGUAAUGGUCCAUACAAUUACCUUUUUAAUGGGUGCUGCCCCAUUGACAGCUAGUGUACAUAGACUUUUUUCUAACAAUGUAGGUCCUUAAGGUACAGUAAUCUACCCAAAAUUGUGUAUUGUUUUGUAUUCCUCUAAAGGUACCAAACGGAAACUUAGGGUACAGCCCCAGUGACAAAAAAGGUUACUUUUUACUAAAAGUCUUUAUUGUUUGUUUAUAUAAAGUGUUUAUUGGCGGUUGUCAUGACAAGAUUUGUGAAGGCACAGUAUGUUUUGUUUUGAUAUUAUCUUGUUUUAUCUACCAUGAUUUUCAGUUUCUAUAUUUAUUUUUAUGCUUCCGUAUUGUUGUCUGUAAGUGUACAUCCGUGCAAUCUUAGUAUGAUUUUGUACAGGUUGGUGGAGGAUGUACACAUAUAAUGUGGUUUCAUAGAUCCGUUAUUUGGGAAUGGCCUUCUUGUACGAUGAAAUUUUGCCAUACCCUGGGUUUUCGUGAACGCCACCACUGGUCCUGGCAUCUGAACACAUCAUUACUGGUUAAGCCUCUUUACCAUAUAAAUGCCUGCACAAAGCACAUAACAUUGUCAAGGACUCUUCUCUUCUUAUGUAUGUCUCUAAAGAGUGAAAUCCUGUGAUUGAUAAAAUACUGUAACAAGAAACAUCAUACUGGAAACUUUAAAUGUAAUUUUGCAGGUAAAUGUUUUGCUAUUGCUGCUAAGCAACCUGGGCUAUGCAAAUGGAAUGCUGGUUGUCCUACCCAGUAUUCAGAUUUGUGAACAUUUGAUAUGAGUAAAAUGUGGUUACAGAUUUGUAUUUAGCCAAAAAACAUAUCAGAAUAUUGUUUGAAAUUUUCCUUUGCAUAUUUUUUUUUUUUUUGUCAAAAAUGACAAUUGUUUUGCUAGAUAGGACCCUUAUGCCAUUGGCUUGACAUGAUGUGCUGUGACAUCAGAAAGGAUUCAU